Carassius carassius (crucian carp) is the source of this 398-nucleotide long non-coding RNA. RefSeq lists it as uncharacterized. The record is from RefSeq and is a predicted model, not a curated record. Lineage: Eukaryota; Metazoa; Chordata; Actinopteri; Cypriniformes; Cyprinidae. The transcript is spliced from 3 exons.
ACCUUCAUUGCUUUCAGUGGGAAACUUUUGGCGUCAGAGUUUCGAUGAGAGGACAUGAGAUGUUUAUCGCUAUGAAAUCACGUUCAAGAAGUCUCAUUCAGCACACAUCGCGAUACUUGCCAUCAGUUCCACAGUUUGGCUGAAAAGACGUAAAGGAAGCAGUCAGCCCAGUGGUGUUUCUGGAGAGGUAUUCCUUCAGAAAUGGAGAAGACAGAAAGCUGCGGAGGCAGAUAUUUGCAGCAUGUUCGAGUGAGCAUGAUGACCACAAGUGUGUGUCGAACUUUUCAUGACCUGAUGACUGUGUUUCCCAAUCCUGGUCCUGGAGAACCCCAGCACUGCACGGUUUUGGUGUCUCUCUUAUCUGGCAAACACACUUUUGAGGUCUUGGAGUCUUCGCU